This 899-nucleotide ribosomal RNA is filed under the name uncultured archaeon. Its description in RNAcentral is "bacterial SSU rRNA". It matches the Rfam family "Archaeal small subunit ribosomal RNA", at positions 27 to 907 of the family's 1478-position model. The record is from RNAcentral.
CUGCUAUCGGGGUGGGACUUACGCAUGAUAGUUGUGUCCUCAAGCUAUGUGAGGACACGGCGGACGGCUCAGUAACACGUAGCUAACUGCCCUCGGGACGGAGAUAACCCCGGGAAACUGGGGCUAAUACUCGAUAGGUGAGGAGGCCUGGAAUGGUUUCUCGCGUAAAGGAUGUGGAGCCAUGCUUCCAAUAUCGCCCGAGGAUGGGGCUGCGGCCGAUCAGGUAGUUGGCGAGGUAACGGCUCACCAAGCCUUUAACCGGUACGGGCCGUGAGAGCGGGAGCCCGGAGAUGGGCACUGAGACAAGGACCUAGGCCCUACGGGGCGCAGCAGUCGCGAAAACUCCGCAAUGCGCGCAAGCGCGACGGGGCUACCCCGAGUGCCGCCCGCUGAGGAUGGCUUUUCUCUGGUGUAAUGAGCCGGAGGAAUAAGGGGAGGGCAAGACUGGUGUCAGCCGCCGCGGUAAUACCAGCUCCCCGAGUGGUGGGGAUGUUUAUUUGGCCUAAAGCGUCCGUAGCCUGCUCAGUAAGUCCUCCGUUAAAUCCAACGAUCUAAUCGUUGGGCUGCGGGGGAUACUGCAGGGCUAGGGGGCGGGAGAAGUCGACGGUACUCUGGGGGUAGGGGUGAAAUCCUAUAAUCCCAGGAGGACAACCAGUGGCGAAGGCGGUCGGCUAGAACGCGCCCGACGGUGAGGGACGAAAGCGUGGGGAGCGAUCCGGAUUAGAUACCCGGGUAGUCCACGCUGUAAACGAUGCAGGCUAGGUGUUGGCGUGACUACGGGUCACGCUAGUGCCGCAGGGAAGCCGUUAAGCCUGCCGCCUGGGAAGUACGGUCGCAAGACUGAAACUUAAAGGAAUUGGCGGGGGAGCACCACAAGGGGUGAAGCUUGCGGUUCAAUU